AUUGAACGCUGGCGGCAUGCUUUACACGUGCAAGUCGAACGGCAGCGCGGGCUUCGGCCUGGCGGCGAGUGGCGAACGGGUGAGUAAUACAUCGGAACGUGCCCAGUAGUGGGGGAUAGCUCGGCGAAAGCCGGAUUAAUACCGCAUACGACCUGAGGGUGAAAGCGGGGGAUCUUCGGACCUCGCGCUAAUGGAGCGGCCGAUGGCAGAUUAGCUAGUUGGUGGGGUAAAGGCCUACCAAGGCGACGAUCUGUAGCUGGUCUGAGAGGACGACCAGCCACACUGGGACUGAGACACGGCCCAGACUCCUACGGGAGGCAGCAGUGGGGAAUUUUGGACAAUGGGCGAAAGCCUGAUCCAGCAAUGCCGCGUGUGUGAUGAAGGCCUUCGGGUUGUAAAGCACUUUUGGCGGGAACGAAAAGGACUGUGCCAAUACCACGGUUCGAUGACGGUACCCGCAGAAUAAGCACCGGCUAACUACGUG
This 484-nucleotide ribosomal RNA is filed under the name uncultured bacterium. Its description in RNAcentral is "partial 16S ribosomal RNA". It matches the Rfam family "Bacterial small subunit ribosomal RNA", at positions 29 to 507 of the family's 1533-position model. The record is from RNAcentral.